Molecule: ribosomal RNA, 395 nt
Filed under: uncultured bacterium
Lineage: Bacteria
Description: bacterial SSU rRNA
Rfam family: Bacterial small subunit ribosomal RNA
Source: RNAcentral
GACGAACGCUGGCGGCGUGCUUAACACAUGCAAGUCGAGCGGUAAGGCCCUUUGGGGGUACGACGAGCGGCGAACGGGUGAGUAACACGUGGGUGACCUGCCCUCAGCUCUGGGAUAAGCCUGGGAAACGUGGGUCUAAUACCGGAUAUGACUCCAUGACGCAUGUUGUGGGGUGGAAAGCCUUGUGCGGCUGGGGAGUGGGCCCGCGGCCUAUCAGCUUGUUGGUGGGGUGAUGGCCUACCAAGGCGACGACGGGUAGCCGGCCUGAGAGGGCGACCGGCCACACUGGGACUGAGACACGGCCCAGACUCCUACGGGAGGCAGCAGUGGGGAAUCUUGCGCAAUGGGCGAAAGCCUGACGCAGCGACGCCGCGUGAGGGAUGACGGCCUCGGUG